GAGUUUGAUCAUGGCUCAGAUUGAACGCUGGCGGCAGGCCUAACACAUGCAAGUCGAGCGGAUGAGAGGAGCUUGCUCCUUGAUUCAGCGGCGGACGGGUGAGUAAUGCCUAGGAAUCUGCCUGAUAGUGGGGGACAACGUUUCGAAAGGAACGCUAAUACCGCAUACGUCCUACGGGAGAAGGCAGGGGACCUUCGGGCCUUGCGCUAUCAGAUGAGCCUAGGUCGGAUUAGCUAGUAGGUGAGGUAAUGGCUCACCUAGGCGACGAUCCGUAACUGGUCUGAGAGGAUGAUCAGUCACACUGGAACUGAGACACGGUCCAGACUCCUACGGGAGGCAGCAGUGGGGAAUAUUGGACAAUGGGCGAAAGCCUGAUCCAGCCAUGCCGCGUGUGUGAAGAAGGUCUUCGGAUUGUAAAGCACUUUAAGUUGGGAGGAAGGGCUGCAAGUUAAUACCUUGUAGUUUUGACGUUACCAACAGAAUAAGCACCGGCUAACUUCGUG
This 503-nucleotide ribosomal RNA is filed under the name uncultured Gammaproteobacteria bacterium. Its description in RNAcentral is "bacterial SSU rRNA". It matches the Rfam family "Bacterial small subunit ribosomal RNA", at positions 9 to 507 of the family's 1533-position model. The record is from RNAcentral. Lineage: Bacteria; Pseudomonadati; Pseudomonadota; Gammaproteobacteria.